Long non-coding RNA from Felis catus (domestic cat), 985 nucleotides. RefSeq lists it as uncharacterized. The record is from RefSeq and is a predicted model, not a curated record. Lineage: Eukaryota; Metazoa; Chordata; Mammalia; Carnivora; Felidae. The transcript is spliced from 3 exons.
CGACGAAGCGGGUUCAGGAUCUCAAACUCAACGACAUUUCGCCGUGUUCUUACGCGUCCCGCGAAUCGAAGCACAACGAACAAGAUAGAACCAGGGGUAGGAAGUCAACGAAUCCAACUCCAAGUCAGUCUGUGAGCGCGCAGGUAGGAUGAGGCCUCGGUGCGGUCCAGAGGGUAUUCUAGUAUCCAGGAGUGGCCAAAAGUCCUUGGAUGGGACUCAACCAAGAUCAGCCUUCAGGGGUAGAGAAGGAGGCAGUUCAUCAUCGGGAGGGGAAAGCCAGAAGCUUUAGGAUAGAAUCCUAAGGAUUCCUACCCGCUCAAAUGGUUCGGCCACGUGACCUUGAAUCCACCGAUGAGACACGGCCCUGGGAGACAAUUCUGGAAGCCAGUGGUAUGACGCGUGUGCUUUGCAGGCUCGCCUUGCAGACUUCACCCCGCGAGGGUGGGAAUGUGUGGCAUCAUCAGCACCUGUUUCUGUCUGAGCAGCCCGGGUGGCACUGGUCUGUCUCCACUGGGGCAAGACGGGACCAUUGCUUCUGCCCUCGAGCCUCCAAGCCCCCGCCCCUGGCUUCUCCCGGACAUCCUGACAGCCGCCAAUGGCCUUUCACAAUCCCCUUUUCCCUUUAAAGUAACUGGAGCGGGUUCCGUGGCUCACACUCGAGAAUUCGGGUUGGUACACCCCAGGGGCUUUCCAUUGGGUACUGCGGGGAAGGUACAGUGUCAGUGGCCUUCUCGGGGCUGAUGCAGGGGCUUCUGUGCCACCACCACCCCCUGCCGCUCUACUUUUUCACACACUGAGCUGCCAAAUGAAGACUGUAUUCACGAAACAAUAACAACAGUAAUAGCUCUUGACCUUGAUUGAGCACUUGCUGCUAGUUGGGCGUUGCCCGGCAGAUUGUAUUUUCUUUAAAAAAAAUUUAUUUUACUCUUUAUUUAUUUUUGAGAGACAGACAGAGACUGAGUGUGAGAAGGGCAGAGAGAGAGAG